AAGUCGUAACAAGGGUUCCCAAGACGUAAGUCUGGAGCAUGGUUCUUCCGUGGCCCACUUAUAGAAGCCUUUGCAGCCCCGCAAGGGGUCGCUACGCCGACUCUAAACCAUCGUAGCGUGCAAGUCAGCGUAUGCUGGCGACAUAAUCGAAUUGACGGGGACACCCUAAAGCCUACGCCACUAACCUCGCACGGAAACGUGCGGGGGGCCCAUGAUAACCUCAUGGGGAGUAAAAGCGCGUAGGAUACGCCAUCUUGAUGGCACAUGGGCGAUCCGCAGCGAAGCCCCUACCGCUCUCUGAGCCACGGGGAACGUUCACAGACUAAGUGAUUGUGGGCAGGACCUCCUGUCUAAGAUAUAGUCGGGCCCCCGUCGAAAGGCGGGGGGGAGAGACGCUACGCGCGCCGUAGGCUCUCGCUCCACCGUUCCGUAGGUGAACCUGCGGAAGGAUCAUUACCGAGUUCAUGCCCUCACGGGUAGACCUCCCACCCUUUGUAUACCACACCUUCGUUGCCUUGGCGGGCCGCCUAGCUACCGGCUUCGGCUGGUAAGUGCCCGCCAGAGGACCCAAAACCCAAACCAUUUACCGUGUCGUCUGAUAACAAGUUUAAUAUUUAAAACUUUCAACAACGGAUCUCUUGNNUCUGGCAUCGAUGAAGAACGCAGCGAAAUGCGAUAAGUAAUGUGAAUUGCAGAAUUCAGUGAAUCAUCGAAUCUUUGAACNCNCAUUGCGCCCNUGGNANUCCGAGGGGGCAUGCCUAUUCGAGCGUCAUUAUCACCCCUCAAGCUCCGGCUUGGUGUGAGGUCUGCCGCAAGGCACCCUUUAAAAUCAGUGGCAGUGCCGUCAGGCUCUAAGCGUAGUAAUUUCGUCGCUAUAGGGUCCUGGUGGAUGCUCGUCAAAACCCCCCACAUCUUAAUGAUUGACCUCGGAUUAGGUAGGGAUACCCGCUGAACUUAAGCAUAUCAAUAAGCGGAGGAAAAGAAACCAACAGGGAUUGCCUCAGUAACGGCGAGUGAAGCGGCAAAAGCUCAAAUUUGAAAUCUGGCUCUUUCAGGGUCCGAGUUGUAAUUUGUAGAAGAUGCUUCGGGUGUGGCUCCGGUUUAAGUUCUUUGGAAUAUUACAUCAUAGAGGGUGAGAAUCCCGUAUGUGACCGGCAGCCUCCCCCAUGUGAAACUCUUUCGACGAGUCGAGUUGUUUGGGAAUGCAGCUCAAAAUGGGAGGUAUAUUUCUUCUAAAGCUAAAUAUUGGCCAGAGACCGAUAGCGCACAAGUAGAGUGAUCGAAAGAUGAAAAGCACUUUGGAAAGAGAGUUAAACAGUACGUGAAAUUGUUGAAAGGGAAGCGCUUGCAACCAGACUUGCACGCAGUUGAUCAUCCGGUGUUCUCACCGGGGCACUCUGCUGCGUUCAGGCCAGCAUCGGUUUCGGUGGUUGGAUAAAGGCCUUGGGAAUGUGGCUUCCUUCGGGGAGUGUUAUAGCCCUCGGUGCAAUGCAGCCUACCGGGACCGAGGACCGCGCUUCGGCUAGGAUGCUGGCGUAAUGGUUGUAAGCGACC
RNAcentral lists this ribosomal RNA (1554 nucleotides) under uncultured fungus. RNAcentral's name for it is "eukaryotic LSU rRNA". The stretch from base 922 to 1554 matches the Rfam family "Eukaryotic large subunit ribosomal RNA", at positions 1 to 649 of the family's 3401-position model. Lineage: Eukaryota; Fungi. The record is from RNAcentral.